Non-coding RNA from Camellia sinensis, 263 nucleotides. The record is from RefSeq and is a predicted model, not a curated record. Lineage: Eukaryota; Viridiplantae; Streptophyta; Magnoliopsida; Ericales; Theaceae.
UUGCUGUUUUAUUCCAAUGUUGCUCGUUAACUGUCUAAUUCUGAUAUUGUGAAUGGUAGACCAAAUUGAUUGCUUUUGUUGUCUGAAUACACUGACAUCAAAGAGCUUCCUCCUCAUCGACUAGCUGUGAUUCGUCGCUUUUUUGAAGACUACAAGAAGAAUGAGAACAAAGAGGUUGCAGUUAAUGAUUUUUUGCCUUCAGCUACAGCUCAUGAAGCUAUCCAGCACUCCAUGGUUUGAAAAGGAAAUGUUUACAAGGACGA